GACGAACGCUGGCGGCGUGCCUAAUACAUGCAAGUAGAACGCAGUUGCGAAAGGGUGAGGAACGCGUAGGUAACUGCCUCAUAGCGGGGGAUAACUAUUGGAAACGAUAGCUAAUACCUCAUACUUUGAGAUGGACCUGCGUUGUAUUAGCUAGUUGGUGAGGUAAAGGCUCACCAAGGCGACGAUACAUAGCCGACCUGAGAGGAUGGUCGGCCAGCCUGGGACUGAGACCCGGCACAGAGUCAUGCGGAAGGCCGCAGAAGGGAAUCUGCGGGAAUGGGCGGAAGUCUGACCGAGCAACGCCGAGUGAGUGAGGAGGAUUUUCGGAUCGUAAAGCUCUGUUGUUAGAGAGGCGGUAGCUAACCAGAAAGGGACGGCUAACUACGUGCCAGCCGCCGCGGUAAUUC
RNAcentral lists this ribosomal RNA (407 nucleotides) under uncultured bacterium. Its description in RNAcentral is "partial 16S ribosomal RNA". It matches the Rfam family "Bacterial small subunit ribosomal RNA", at positions 28 to 526 of the family's 1533-position model. The record is from RNAcentral.